RNAcentral lists this transfer RNA (74 nucleotides) under Coxiella endosymbiont of Amblyomma nuttalli. RNAcentral's name for it is "tRNA-Pro". It matches the Rfam family "tRNA". From Rfam's summary of the family: Transfer RNA (tRNA) molecules are approximately 80 nucleotides in length. Their secondary structure includes four short double-helical elements and three loops (D, anti-codon, and T loops). Further hydrogen bonds mediate the characteristic L-shaped molecular structure. tRNAs have two regions of fundamental functional importance: the anti-codon, which is responsible for specific mRNA codon recognition, and the 3' end, to which the tRNAs corresponding amino acid is attached (by aminoacyl-tRNA synthetases). tRNAs cope with the degeneracy of the genetic code in two manners: having more than one tRNA (with a specific anti-codon) for a particular amino acid; and 'wobble' base-pairing, i.e. permitting non-standard base-pairing at the 3rd anti-codon position. Lineage: Bacteria; Pseudomonadati; Pseudomonadota; Gammaproteobacteria; Legionellales; Coxiellaceae. The record is from RNAcentral.
CGGGGUGUAGCUCAGCUCGGUAGAGCACUGCCUUCGGGAGGCAGUGGCCGGAGGUUCAAAUCCUCUCACCCCGA